GCGGCGUGCCUAAUACAUGCAAGUCGAGCGGACAGAAGGGAGCUUGCUCCCGGAUGUUAGCGGCGGACGGGUGAGUAACACGUGGGUAACCUGCCUGUAAGACUGGGAUAACUCCGGGAAACCGGAGCUAAUACCGGAUAGUUCCUUGAACCGCAUGGUUCAAGGAUGAAAGACGGUUUCGGCUGUCACUUACAGAUGGACCCGCGGCGCAUUAGCUAGUUGGUGAGGUAACGGCUCACCAAGGCGACGAUGCGUAGCCGACCUGAGAGGGUGAUCGGCCACACUGGGACUGAGACACGGCCCAGACUCCUACGGGAGGCAGCAGUAGGGAAUCUUCCGCAAUGGACGAAAGUCUGACGGAGCAACGCCGCGUGAGUGAUGAAGGUUUUCGGAUCGUAAAGCUCUGUUGUUAGGGAAGAACAAGUGCAAGAGUAACUGCUUGCACCUUGACGGUACCUAACCAGAAAGCCACGGCUAACUACGUGCCAGCAGCCGCGGUAAUACGUAGGUGGCAAGCGUUGUCCGGAAUUAUUGGGCGUAAAGGGCUCGCAGGCGGUUUCUUAAGUCUGAUGUGAAAGCCCCCGGCUCAACCCGGGGAGGGUCAUUGGAAACUGGGAAACUUGAGUGCAGAAGAGGAGAGUGGAAUUCCACGUGUAGCGGUGAAAUGCGUAGAGAUGUGGAGGAACACCAGUGGCGAAGGCGACUCUCUGGUCUGUAACUGACGCU
RNAcentral lists this ribosomal RNA (726 nucleotides) under Bacillus pumilus. RNAcentral describes it as "bacterial SSU rRNA". It matches the Rfam family "Bacterial small subunit ribosomal RNA", at positions 39 to 747 of the family's 1533-position model. Lineage: Bacteria; Bacillati; Bacillota; Bacilli; Caryophanales; Bacillaceae. The record is from RNAcentral.